AUGCGGCGCGCGGGAGGCGGCCGGCGCGGGCUCUCGGCGCGGGCGCAGCGCCCCUUCCCCCCGGUGAGUGGCGGGCGGCGGGCGGCGGGCGGGGGCGGCGGGCCGGGGACGCCAACUUCGCCGCCAACUUGGGGCUGGGCUCGGGCGCCGCGCGGGCAAGGACGGCGGAGGCAGACGCGGGAGUCCCGGGGGCGGUCUGGCCGGCGGGGGAGCCCGAGGAGGGGGCGGCCGGGGCCCCGCGACCCCCGGGGACCUGGCCUGGGACUCGGACCCGGGCGGGCGGAGAGGAGGCGAGGCCGGGAGGCCGAGGUGACGGGCGCGCGGCGGACGCGAGGGAAGGACGCGGGCGAGGCGCCCAAGACGUUCGCCUCCCGGGUCGCCGAGCCCUCCGGCUCCUCUUGGGGGGGGGCGGCGCCGCGGGGCAGGGGGCGGCGCGGGGACGCGGGAGUCUGGGCCGCGGGCCCCGCAACUGUUGCUGCUGGAAGCCGCUGGGCGGGGAGCUGGGCCGGGAGCCGGGGCUGCCGCUGCGCGCGGGGGGCUGGAGAGGGCCGGGGCGGAGAGGACCCAGGGGGCUGCCUCCCGAGGUUCGCCGAGCACCUUCUGCGCGCCUCUCCCUCGACACCCCGCCCCUUCACACGCUGCGAGUCCCCCAGGUCCUUACAUCCCCCCGCCCCCGCCCCGGGCUCUCCUCCUGCUCCCUCCCCUGACCUCAGGGAAUCAGCCCCGGCUUCACGGGGUUUGGGGGGAGGGGGUCUUCCCAAACGCGGACCCAACGCCCGGAGGACCCGGGCUCCGAGGGCGCAGAAGGAAGGCUGGGCGAGGAGCACCAGGGGGGACCGUGAGCCCGGAGCGCUGGGCCCUGGCUGUCGCACCGGCGGGCAGCUGCGGCCCCCCCGGGGCUUCGACAAGGAUCCCCGACGGCGGGGAAGGGGAACCCCGAGCCUCCUGCAGCGGAAGGCGCUGCGAGCCCAGGCUAGGAGGGCAGGGCUAGGGACUUGGGAAGGAGGGCAUCAAGCGGCCGGAAAACCCCCGCGGUGCGCACCAAGACCCAUCGGAAGGUCCUGCUGGGUGAGCGAAGCGAAGCGGGGAUCCCAGCCCGGUUCUUGA
RNAcentral lists this long non-coding RNA (1107 nucleotides) under Canis lupus familiaris (dog). RNAcentral describes it as "lncRNA (ENSCAFG00805028084.1, ENSCAFG00845016880.1)". Lineage: Eukaryota; Metazoa; Chordata; Mammalia; Carnivora; Canidae. The record is from RNAcentral.